ACUUCAAACAAACUUUAUUGUUAUUGUCAAGGACAGAUAUAUGUAAUAAUUUCGCUGGUAAGGUGAAUAAAAAACAAUAUUGUAAUCAAUAUCACGUUUGCACUGGUUCGGUUCAGCACUCGAGCGGCUCUGAAUCGUAUUGAACCGAAUUGAACCGUUUGCUCGGGAAUUAUUUGAUCACACGUAUUCACAAGCACAUUCAGCAAUAUGCAAUUAGUGUAUAAUUAGUGUAUAAAUGCGUGUGGCCAAGCAGUAUAACGAAAUAGUAAUGAAUCAUAUACAAAAAGGAAUCGGUUUUAGGCGGAUUCGAUUCUUUACUGUUCACUAAGGAGCCAAUUCAUAGAACCGAACGGACACGACUCGACAUGCAGGCCACAACACUGAGAUGAAGGCGAAGUCACCAUGAAAAGUUAAACGUUUACCGUUAAGCUACAGUAAUUGAUGUUGAAAAACUGAUGCUACCAAUCACUCCUCACUUGAUUUAUCAAGGUAAUGUUGAUGUCUUCCUCAUUUUGAUUAGAUUUUUAAAUGUCAAGUUGUUCACAGAUUUGUUGUGAGGAGUUUCAUGUACAACCUCUUUUGCUUCUUCCAGGAGUUCCUAAGAUAAAAAAAUCUGGUGUUAAAACAGCCACGGCUAUGCUAUUUGCCUACCAAGUGCUGAGUAAAUAUUAGACAAACAAUUUUUCUAUAACUGUUGUCUUUGUGUUUAUUAGCAAUUUUACUGGGCGUAUGUGUUUUUUUUUUUCAAACAGCCUGGAAACUGUAAGUUUAGUUCAAUAUGUUAUUUUAUGCUAUUCAUUUUUGUCUUAACAUGGAUUGCAUGUUGAAGCUAUCGUUUUAUAGUGGGAAAAUGUAAAAGAGAAUAACUGAAUACAAUGGCAUAAUGAUUCUGCUUGUUCACAGAAGGUACUUGAUUUAGUUUUCCUCAAGCGACACAUCAGUUUUUAUGACUAUUGCUUGACACUUGAAUUGAAGGGACAGUUCACCCCAAAAUGAAAAUAAUAGCAUCUUUGGCAUCCUCCACUUGUUUCAAAAUAGUUAUAUAUUUAUUUUGUUCCGUUGGACUAGAAAC
This is a non-coding RNA of Danio rerio (zebrafish), 1072 nucleotides long. The record is from Ensembl. NCBI's taxonomy places the organism in Eukaryota, Metazoa, Chordata, Actinopteri, Cypriniformes, Danionidae.